Molecule: long non-coding RNA, 498 nt
Organism: Alexandromys fortis (reed vole)
Lineage: Eukaryota; Metazoa; Chordata; Mammalia; Rodentia; Cricetidae
Exons: 3
Source: RefSeq, a predicted model, not a curated record
GUCUCUCACUGGCUUGGAGCCAGCAAGCCUCAGGGUCCUCCCCAGCAGGGAUUUCAGAUGUUCCAAGGAACAGACAGGAACACGGCCUCAGAAAGAGAAUGGGACCCCCAGCUGUCUCCAUAAGCCAUGAAUGGAAAAGUCUUCCGAUAAGAGGAGAGAUCUGUGCAGGACAGCAAGAUGUCUUAACUGAUGACAGCAUUUGCCUGAGGACUUGAGUGUUAUCCCCGGAGCCCACGGUGGAAGGAGAGGACCAUCUCCAGAAGGUUGCCCUCUGACCUUCAUAUGUGCACUGCGACACACAUGUACACACAUGGUAGACUGCCCUGCUCUAGUGAACGGCCCCACACUCAUGUACAUGAGUAAAGUGCUAAUUGAGCUCAAUGGCUUAAUUCAUAAAAUGAAGAGAGCAUAAUAGUGCAAGAGCAACACAUUGGGGUAAGUUUCCAGGAGGGAGAGGAGAUGCUGUGCAGUAGAUAUGACCAAGACACUGCAUACAUG